RNAcentral lists this ribosomal RNA (140 nucleotides) under Cytobacillus oceanisediminis. RNAcentral describes it as "Bacillus oceanisediminis partial 23S ribosomal RNA". It matches the Rfam family "Bacterial large subunit ribosomal RNA", at positions 2786 to 2925 of the family's 2925-position model. The record is from RNAcentral. Lineage: Bacteria; Bacillati; Bacillota; Bacilli; Caryophanales; Bacillaceae.
CAUGAAGCCCCCCUCGAGAUGAGAUUUCCCAUAGCGUCAAGCUAGUAAGAUCCCUGAAAGAUGAUCAGGUUGAUAGGUCAGAGGUGGAAGCGUGGCGACAUGUGGAGCUGACUGAUACUAAUCGAUCGAGGACUUAACCA